This 375-nucleotide ribosomal RNA is filed under the name uncultured bacterium. RNAcentral's name for it is "bacterial SSU rRNA". It matches the Rfam family "Bacterial small subunit ribosomal RNA", at positions 329 to 721 of the family's 1533-position model. The record is from RNAcentral.
GACCAGACUCCUACGGGAGGCAGCAGUGGGGAAUAUUGCACAAUGGGGGAAACCCUGAUGCAGCGACGCCGCGUGAGUGAAGAAGUAUUUCGGUAUGUAAAGCUCUAUCAGCAGGGAAGAAAAUGACGGUACCUGACUAAGAAGCCCCGGCUAACUACGUGCCAGCAGCCGCGGUAAUACGUAGGGGGCAAGCGUUAUCCGGAUUUACUGGGUGUAAAGGGAGCGUAGACGGCAGCGCAAGUCUGAAGUGAAAUCCCAUGGCUUAACCAUGGAACUGCUUUGGAAACUGUGCAGCUGGAGUGCAGGAGAGGUAAGCGGAAUUCCUAGUGUAGCGGUGAAAUGCGUAGAUAUUAGGAGGAACACCAGUGGCGAAGG